GCCCUCAUCAUAAUCCAAUCAUGCCAGGGGCGUAGUGCAGGCCACACCUGGUCUUUCCCUUAAACAUAACAUGUCAUACAUAUCCAAUAAUGCCGGGGGCGUAGUGCAGGCCACACCCGGACUUUCCCUUACAUAGUGCCAGGGGCGUAGUGCAGGCCACACCUGGACUUCCAUAUCAUAUCAUAUCUCAUCAUACUGAGGACCAAUGGGUCAUCCAACAUCCAUCCACAUUAACAUUAAGAUAUGCAAUGCAACAUAUUCGUGGAUUCUAAUGCAAACAACCUAAAAUAUCACAUGGCAUUCAUGAUGCAUGAAUCAUGCUGAAACGUGUA
Molecule: long non-coding RNA, 332 nt
Filed under: Manihot esculenta (cassava)
Lineage: Eukaryota; Viridiplantae; Streptophyta; Magnoliopsida; Malpighiales; Euphorbiaceae
Description: long non-coding RNA (MESC_LNC011986)
Source: RNAcentral